Small nucleolar RNA from Juglans microcarpa x Juglans regia, 87 nucleotides. RefSeq annotates it as small nucleolar RNA SNORD34. Lineage: Eukaryota; Viridiplantae; Streptophyta; Magnoliopsida; Fagales; Juglandaceae. The record is from RefSeq and is a predicted model, not a curated record. The transcript has a single exon.
GGAGGCCUGUGAUGAUCUGAAUACUUGCCUACAUUGUCAGAUUGUCUUAUAUAUGGUUGACUAUGGACUACAUUGUCUGAGGCCUCC